CUUACAUACUGCAUUAUGAUUCCCUUACUGACUGCAAAGUGAAGGCCUCCUAGUCCUAGGGCAUGACUCACCAUUUUUCAAUUAUAAUGAAGAAAGGUCUUGUUUGUUGCAGGCAUGUUUCAAGCAGUUGGCUGGUGGGACUUUGAGAGAUGCUGCCGCCCGUGAUGUGGUGGAGUUAUCAUGAUCAACCACUCCGUUCGGAUUUCAACCAGUGGCCAUGAGCUUUGUCUGAUAGACCACAGCAGGAGUUGGAUUUUUAAAAAGGAGCAAACCAGGUAAAUGAAAAUCAUCAAAUCUGCAACCUGGGGAUGGUUCAAUGGAUAAGAAAGCUUGCAGUGGGAACAAGAGGACCUGGAUUCAAAUUGCCAGCACCCACUAUACCACUCCCACUAUUCCUUCUACACAGUUCUUUUAAGAGACAAGCAACACACAGGGUGGUAUUUACAUGAAGGAAAGACACUGAAGCCAAGCCCACCAGUGACCAUCACAAGCUUGUGAUCUUGUCCUCAUAACAGAGUACAGCAGGGAGUGGACCAGAGAGAGCAUCUGUCCCAGCAGAAUAAAAAAGGCCUUCCCAGUGAUUCCA
This 586-nucleotide long non-coding RNA is filed under the name Mus spicilegus (steppe mouse). RNAcentral's name for it is "lncRNA (ENSMSIG00000004161.1)". The record is from RNAcentral. Lineage: Eukaryota; Metazoa; Chordata; Mammalia; Rodentia; Muridae.